This 352-nucleotide ribosomal RNA is filed under the name Salmonella enterica. RNAcentral describes it as "partial 23S ribosomal RNA". It matches the Rfam family "Bacterial large subunit ribosomal RNA", at positions 1 to 389 of the family's 2925-position model. Lineage: Bacteria; Pseudomonadati; Pseudomonadota; Gammaproteobacteria; Enterobacterales; Enterobacteriaceae. RNAcentral also lists the same sequence under 2 other names. The record is from RNAcentral.
GGUUAAGCGACUAAGCGUACACGGUGGAUGCCCUGGCAGUCAGAGGCGAUGAAGGACGUGCUAAUCUGCGAUAAGCGCCGGUAAGGUGAUAUGAACCGUUAUAACCGGCGAUUUCCGAAUGGGGAAACCCAGUGUGACUCGUCACACUAUCAUUAACUGAAUCCAUAGGUUAAUGAGGCGAACCGGGGGAACUGAAACAUCUAAGUACCCCGAGGAAAAGAAAUCAACCGAGAUUCCCCCAGUAGCGGCGAGCGAACGGGGAGGAGCCCAGAGCCUGAAUCAGCAUGUGUGUUAGUGGAAGCGUCUGGAAAGGCGCGCGAUACAGGGUGACAGCCCCGUACACAAAAGCGCA